This 703-nucleotide ribosomal RNA is filed under the name Mycobacterium tuberculosis. RNAcentral describes it as "bacterial SSU rRNA". It matches the Rfam family "Bacterial small subunit ribosomal RNA", at positions 95 to 798 of the family's 1533-position model. The record is from RNAcentral. Lineage: Bacteria; Bacillati; Actinomycetota; Actinomycetes; Mycobacteriales; Mycobacteriaceae.
GUGGCGAACGGGUGAGUAACACGUGGGUGAUCUGCCCUGCACUUCGGGAUAAGCCUGGGAAACUGGGUCUAAUACCGGAUAGGACCACGGGAUGCAUGUCUUGUGGUGGAAAGCGCUUUAGCGGUGUGGGAUGAGCCCGCGGCCUAUCAGCUUGUUGGUGGGGUGACGGCCUACCAAGGCGACGACGGGUAGCCGGCCUGAGAGGGUGUCCGGCCACACUGGGACUGAGAUACGGCCCAGACUCCUACGGGAGGCAGCAGUGGGGAAUAUUGCACAAUGGGCGCAAGCCUGAUGCAGCGACGCCGCGUGGGGGAUGACGGCCUUCGGGUUGUAAACCUCUUUCACCAUCGACGAAGGUCCGGGUUCUCUCGGAUUGACGGUAGGUGGAGAAGAAGCACCGGCCAACUACGUGCCAGCAGCCGCGGUAAUACGUAGGGUGCGAGCGUUGUCCGGAAUUACUGGGCGUAAAGAGCUCGUAGGUGGUUUGUCGCGUUGUUCGUGAAAUCUCACGGCUUAACUGUGAGCGUGCGGGCGAUACGGGCAGACUAGAGUACUGCAGGGGAGACUGGAAUUCCUGGUGUAGCGGUGGAAUGCGCAGAUAUCAGGAGGAACACCGGUGGCGAAGGCGGGUCUCUGGGCAGUAACUGACGCUGAGGAGCGAAAGCGUGGGGAGCGAACAGGAUUAGAUACCCUGGUAGUCCAC